UUUUAUAUUUUAAAUUUGAAGGUUAAACUCCCAAGGUGAAAUUUACAUUGAUUGGAAGAUUCUUUUGAUAGAAUAUUCCUGCCAAAAGACAGCAGAAGGGGGACUAACUGAUGUAUGGAUUUUGACACCAGAUUUUACCCUGCACGAGCAGGCCAACUUGAGGAGAUCAGGAGUGGGAAUACCGAGCCCUGUCCUUGACUAAGAAAAGUUGGAUUUGUUGAGAGGACCUGAUCUCAAAUGAGAUCAUGCACAAGACGCACCUCGCAAAGGCCAUGACAGUAUAGUUUUCAGACCUGAUUAGCUGGUGACUGCUCUAUGAAGUGUUGUUCAACCUACCCUAAGGGGGAGAUUCGAGAGGGUCUCCUGAUUGCUGAACACUACGCCAUGGUUGAUGUCAUCUCCAAAAAGUUUGCCCUGCCCAUAUCAACAGUGGAAGAGAACAUGAAAUGGGCCUUGAGGAGGCUUCGUGUCAUGUACUGCGGGGAGAAUAUAUAAACUGUGUAGUGUUGAGCAAUAUGUUCCUUUGUUCAUAGGUGUAAAUAUGUGUAUAGGGCUAUUCCAGGAAAAGAUAGGAUGAAGGAUUCCUUAAUGGCGUCAUUUAAUAAAUCCGGUACCACCAAUACAGUUAAAAACAAUUAUUAUUAAUUUUAUCCUCUGUAUCACCCCUCACUAACUGAAACUGUAUAUAUCAUGGUUCAUAUCCUUCCUCCCAUUUUUACCUGUGGUAGCCCUAAGAGGAGAAUGUUAUUUAUUUUAAUUUAUUAUGUUAAAUGUGCUCGCAUAUUGUGAUAAUGUAUCUUGGGUAGAUGUUUUCCUGGUUUUGUUAAAAAUGCACUGUAAAAAUGUUCACAUUAUUUGUUUUUUUAAUAUAAACAUAUUUUUUUGCAAAUUGUGUGUGUCUUUUCUUUUUAAUCACAUGGGGCUUGUAAUGAUCUGUUGUG
This is a long non-coding RNA of Dreissena polymorpha, 941 nucleotides long. RefSeq lists it as uncharacterized. The transcript is spliced from 3 exons. Lineage: Eukaryota; Metazoa; Mollusca; Bivalvia; Myida; Dreissenidae. The record is from RefSeq and is a predicted model, not a curated record.